CAGAGUUGCAAAACUCCCUAAACCAUUGUGAACCUACCACUAAACAGUUGCUUCGGCGGGUGGCGCGAGGGCCCCUUCACGGGGGCAGGGAGCGCCCUAGACAGCCCGCCGGAGGUACUCAAACUCUUUGUUUACCACAGGCCUCUCUGAGUAUUGUACUUAAAUAAGUCA
RNAcentral lists this unclassified non-coding RNA (171 nucleotides) under soil metagenome. RNAcentral describes it as "partial internal transcribed spacer 1". The record is from RNAcentral.